RNAcentral lists this ribosomal RNA (465 nucleotides) under uncultured bacterium. Its description in RNAcentral is "partial 16S ribosomal RNA". It matches the Rfam family "Bacterial small subunit ribosomal RNA", at positions 338 to 795 of the family's 1533-position model. The record is from RNAcentral.
CCUACGGGAGGCAGCAGUGGGGAAUAUUGCGCAAUGGGCGAAAGCCUGACGCAGCGACGCCGCGUGAGGGAUGAAGGUCUUCGGAUCGUAAACCUCUGUCAGCAGGGAAGAACGGUCACUGUGCUAAUCAGCAGUGAAUUGACGGUACCUGCAAAGGAAGCACCGGCUAACUCCGUGCCAGCAGCCGCGGUAAUACGGAGGGUGCGAGAGUUAAUCGGAAUUACUGGGCGUAAAGCGCUCGUAGGCGGUAUGUCAAGUCAAGGGUGAAAUCCCCGCGCUCCACGUGGGAACUGCCUUUGACACUGGCAAACUGGUGUGUGUGAGAGGAUAGUGGAAUUCCAGGUGUAGGAGUGAAAUACGUAGAUAUCUGGAGGAACAGCAGUGGCGAAGGCGACUAUCUGGCACAUAACUGACGCUGAGGAGCGAAAGCGUGGGUAGCAAACAGGAUUAGAUACCCCAGUAGUC